UACAGAGGGUGCAAGCGUUAAUCGGAAUUACUGGGCGUAAAGGGCUCGUAGGCGGUCUGUCGCGUCGGGAGUGAAAACUCAGGGCUUAACCCUGAGCCUGCUUCCGAUACGGGCAGACUAGAGGUAUGCAGGGGAGAACGGAAUUCCUGGUGUAGCGGUGGAAUGCGCAGAUAUCAGGAGGAACACCGAGUGGCGAAGGCAGAUCUCUGGGCCGUAACUUGACGCUGAGGAGCGAAAGCAUGGGGAGCGAACAGG
This 255-nucleotide ribosomal RNA is filed under the name uncultured bacterium. RNAcentral's name for it is "partial 16S ribosomal RNA". It matches the Rfam family "Bacterial small subunit ribosomal RNA", at positions 524 to 776 of the family's 1533-position model. The record is from RNAcentral.